This 308-nucleotide ribosomal RNA is filed under the name uncultured Latescibacterota bacterium. RNAcentral's name for it is "bacterial SSU rRNA". It matches the Rfam family "Bacterial small subunit ribosomal RNA", at positions 1077 to 1382 of the family's 1533-position model. The record is from RNAcentral. Lineage: Bacteria; Pseudomonadati; Candidatus Latescibacterota.
GGGUUAAGUCCCGCAACGAGCGCAACCCCUUAUCCCUAGUUGCCAUCAGGUAAAGCUGGGGAACUCUGGGGAGACUGCCGGUGAUAAACCGGAGGAAGGCGGGGAUGACGUCAAGUCCUCAUGGCCCUUACAUCCCGGGCUACACACGUGCUACAAUGGCAGGUACAGAGGGCUGCGAAGCCGCGAGGUGGAGCGAAUCCCAGAAAACCUGUCUCAGUCCGGAUUGAAGUCUGCAACUCGACUUCAUGAAGGCGGAAUCGCUAGUAACCGCGAAUCAGCAGGUCGCGGUGAAUACGUUCCCGGGCCUU